RNAcentral lists this long non-coding RNA (413 nucleotides) under Nicotiana benthamiana. RNAcentral's name for it is "long non-coding RNA (NBEN_LNC003106)". The record is from RNAcentral. Lineage: Eukaryota; Viridiplantae; Streptophyta; Magnoliopsida; Solanales; Solanaceae.
UCAAAGAUAUCAAGUAAUAGGAAGUGUAGAAGACAGAGGUUAAAUCAAAAGAAAAUCGUUUGAAAGACAGAGACCAAAGAGAUUUAGGCAAAGAAUUUGGGUUUGCAAAUAUAAAUUAGGGAAAUGAGAAACCUGGCCGUGAAACUCGUGUAUAAUGCCAUAGAAGGCAUCAUCAGACAAAAACCACCGGAGAAAAGCCGGAAACAGACCCAAAUGAAGCUUCAGCGACCGUCUUUCAUGGCGGAAGCUGCUGGGCUUCAAGCUUUAGAGAGAAAACAACGAUACAAGGACUCCAUGGCUGCUAGAGGUCGAGAGAAGUGAGAUAGGAGUGGGCCGGAGAGGCGAUGAUCUUCAUCGGAGAAGAAUGGAACAGAAGGUCCUAGAGAGAAAGGAGAGCAUAUGUUAGAGAGAUA